GAUGAACGCUCGCGGGAGGCCUAACACAUGCAAGCCGAGCGGUAUUUGUCCUUCGGGACAGAGAGAGCGGCGUACGGGUGCGGAACACGUGUGCAACCUGCCUUUAUCUGGGGGAUAGCCUUUCGAAAGGAAGAUUAAUACCCCAUAAUAUAUCGAAUGGCAUCAUUCGAUAUUGAAAACUCCGGUGGAUAGAGAUGGGCACGCGCAAGAUUAGAUAGUUGGUGAGGUAACGGCUCACCAAGUAAGUGAUCUUUAGGGGGCCUGAGAGGGUGAUCCCCCACACUGGUACUGAGACACGGACCAGACUCCUACGGGAGGCAGCAGUGAGGAAUAUUGGACAAUGGGGGGGAGCCUGAUCCAGCCAUCCCGCGUGAAGGACUAAGGCCCUAUGGGUUGUAAACUUCUUUUAUACUGAGAUAAACCUACUUACGUGUAAGUAGCUGAAGGUACAGUAUGAAUAAGCACCGGCUAACUCCGUG
RNAcentral lists this ribosomal RNA (479 nucleotides) under uncultured bacterium. RNAcentral describes it as "partial 16S ribosomal RNA". It matches the Rfam family "Bacterial small subunit ribosomal RNA", at positions 28 to 507 of the family's 1533-position model. The record is from RNAcentral.